Molecule: microRNA precursor, 74 nt
Filed under: Danaus plexippus plexippus
Lineage: Eukaryota; Metazoa; Arthropoda; Insecta; Lepidoptera; Nymphalidae
Description: mir-971 microRNA precursor family
Rfam family: mir-971 microRNA precursor family
Source: Rfam by way of RNAcentral
UGUUCAGUUCACUCUAAGUAUGAACGCCAAGCAUAUUAUUGAGUUUGGUGUUCUACCUUACAGUGAACAGAGCG